This 502-nucleotide ribosomal RNA is filed under the name uncultured bacterium. RNAcentral's name for it is "partial 16S ribosomal RNA". It matches the Rfam family "Bacterial small subunit ribosomal RNA", at positions 30 to 523 of the family's 1533-position model. The record is from RNAcentral.
AUUGAACGCUGGCGGCAGGCUUAACACAUGCAAGUCGAGCGGUAACAGGGGAGCUUGCUCCUGCUGACGAGUGGCGGACGGGUGAGUAAUGUCUGGGAAUCUGCCUUGUGGAGGGGGAUAACCACUGGAAACGGUGGCUAAUACCGCAUAAUGUUGCGAGACCAAAGCGUGGGACCUUCGGGCCACGCGCCACGAGGUGAGCCCAGAUGGGAUUAGCUAGUAGGUAGGGUAAAGGCCUACCUAGGCGACGAUCUCUAGCUGGUCUGAGAGGAUGAUCAGCCACACUGGGACUGAGACACGGCCCAGACUCCUACGGGAGGCAGCAGUGGGGAAUAUUGCACAAUGGGGGGAACCCUGAUGCAGCCAUGCCGCGUGUGUGAAGAAGGCCUUCGGGUUGUAAAGCACUUUCGGUAGUGAGGAAGUGUAAUGGGUUAAUAGCGCAUUACUUUGACGUUAACUACAGAAGAAGCACCGGCAAACUCCGUGCCAGCCGCCGCCGUAA